GCUGGACACAUGUGUAGCUCGCAACAUCAUCUUCAAGCCUGGAUCAGUAAAGUUAGAACGUCUAACUUGCAAGAUAAUAGAUAUGAUCUAUUAUAUUUUACAUACAUUAGAUGUAGUAUAGAAACAUGUUGAUAUGAUCAACAUGUAGUUCUUGCUCUUUAUAUUUUAAUUUUUGAUUUAAUGUCAUGUAAUAAUCAUGUAAUAAGAUCUUAGAUCUAAAAAUUUUCUAAUUUUAUAAGAUAAAUUUAGAUUUAUUUUAGUCUUCUACUGUCUGAUCAUGAAAAAGUUUCAAGAUCUAACCCUGAAACCCU
This 311-nucleotide long non-coding RNA is filed under the name Elaeis guineensis (African oil palm). RNAcentral describes it as "long non-coding RNA (EGUI_LNC044625)". Lineage: Eukaryota; Viridiplantae; Streptophyta; Magnoliopsida; Arecales; Arecaceae. The record is from RNAcentral.